ACAUCACUCUCCUGUGCAACGGCUUCAAAGCCACAUGGGAACACUCCUUUCCUUCUGCACCUUCUCCUUUCCCUUCCCCCACUUUCACUCUCCCUUUUCCCAAGAUCUCAGUGGCUGGAAAUCCCUUUAUUCCUUUCCUCUCGGGCAAAUGUCUCAGGGCCCUUACUCCACAUACUUCCCCGCAGGCAAACUUUCUGUUGCUGGAUGCUGUACAUCAGCAGUGAAAUCCUAGGGUUCAGAGGGGAGCCUGGAGCAGAGGUCAGAGCAGCUGAGAAUGAGCAGGGUUUGGAAGCCAGCAGAAAAAGUGUGAAGCAGGAUACCCUUUUUACAAAUUCACUAUAGCAGUAGUUUUGCAUAUUAUUGAGCAAUAGCAGCCAGUCCACAGCCUGCAAAUGAAUUUCUUGGUUACUUUCUCAUUCCCUUUUUAGAAAAUACAAUGGUGUCUUUUUGGGCUUGGUAUACAGCUUGGAUGGAAUGAGAAAAUU
Molecule: non-coding RNA, 485 nt
Organism: Cyanistes caeruleus (blue tit)
Lineage: Eukaryota; Metazoa; Chordata; Aves; Passeriformes; Paridae
Source: RefSeq, a predicted model, not a curated record